GGCCACUUGCGGAGCUGAAGAAGGUGGCUCCUUAAGUGGCAUGACUUGAGAUGAGGGUUGUGCAUCGUUGUUUCCAUCUAUCCUCUUUUCUCCAUCCCACCUGCCUGUCACAGUGACCAAAGUCCCCUUUCUUAUCUCCAUUCCUACAGGCUGUGAAAGAUUUUAGGUUAUCAGGAGUUUCUUGUUAAGAGGCAAGUGUUCAAGUCAUUAUGAGCUGAUUGUUGUUGCUGUCGUUUAGUCUAUCAGUCAUGUCCGACACUUUUGUGACCCCAUGGACUGUAGCCCGCCAGGCUCCUCUGUCCAUGGGAUUUCCAUGCAAGAAUACUAGAACAGGUAGCCCUUCCCUUCUCCAGGGCAUCUUCCCAAGCCAGGGUUUGAAUCCUGUCUCCUGCAUUGCAGGGCAGAUUCUUUACUGCUGAGCCAGCAGGGAAGCCCUUAUGAGCUGCUACCUAGUAGCAAUCAGACAAGGUGAGUGAGGGAGUAGGGAGAGGGCUUGCUAGAGGGCUGAGCACCAUUUUGCUUCCUAACAGCCGUGUGGAUCGCUGCAAUUCAUUGCAACAGGGAAAAGGGGAUGUCCAGCUUCCCGGUCUUUGUAGUCGAAAACGUGAGGCUUUGCCUUAUAAACACCGCAGUCCUGCAGAAACGUCUUGGCCGGCGUUACCCCGAGAAGCGUGUCUGCCUGGCUUAUAAUCGUCAGUGCCGCACGUUUAGCUCGGGUGUCGAGAGAGUGCCCGUCUCUAGGCUGUAUUGCAUCCUCCCGCCUGGCUGCAUUGCACUGUUCCUUUUCCCCUUGUUUGGAAUUGUUUUCGACUGGGCAGGAAAGCUAUGAUUCCUUGAUUCCUGUUCCUGGCUGUGUCAACAUUCACUACCUGCAGUCUUCCUCCAUUCACCUGUAAGUCAGGGCUAGUAAUACCCCCCCUCUCAAGGUUGUUGCAAGCACUGAACUCCACGUGCACAUACAGCUUGCGUGAAUUCCUCACGGCCGCCAAAACAAAUUGCUACCCACUUGGUGGCUUCCAACAGCAAACACUGAUUGUCUCAGAGUUCUGGAAGCUGGAAGUCUGAAAUCAAGGUGUCAGCAGGUCCAUGUUUCCUUGGAAGCUUCUAGGGGGAGAUCCUUCUCUGCCUUUUUCAGCUUCUGAUGGCAUCAUUGCCAUCUGCUUAGUUGUGACGUGGCCUUCUCCUCUCUGUGUCUCUUACAAGGACACCUUCAUCGGGUUAGUACCCACUCAAAUCCAGCAUGAUCUCACCUUUUUCAUCUGCCAAAACCCUAUUUCCAAACAACGUCCCGUUCCGAGGUUCUUGGAGGACAUGAGUGUUUGGAGGGCAGUAUUUCACCCACACUACGCAGCUUCUCGAGCAAUGCUGGACUUCAGAGAAUGGAAGCUCCCUCUUCUAUCUCUACCAUCUGGGCACAGGUUAACUAAGCCAGAGUUUUAUGUAACUUUCUCAGUCCCUCUAAAGAAUAGGCUAUUUACACAUGGCCCCAGAAAACGCCUUGUAGAGCCACUGGCCAGUUGGUUCCUCUGCCAGUUGGUCUGUGCCAGACACUGGGAGCCAGGGACAGGGUGACCGACGUCCCGGCCCUUCAGGAGGCCACGGUCUAGUGGAGGAGAGUGACAUGUAAAUAAGCAAAUACAAUGCUCCUAUUUAUUAGGCUGGCGCGCAUCCAGGACUCCAUCCAGAACAAUGCUUCCAGAGCUGUUGGCAUCACCCGGGGUUCCAGGAGCCAACUCUACCCCGGCUCUCCCUGCGGCGCCUCUGGCCUCGCCCUCCUGCCCCCGCACACAGGGCUGGCAGGUUACGUUCAGGUUAAUCUCAGUCAUCGCAUUUAUCC
Molecule: long non-coding RNA, 1837 nt
Organism: Bos taurus (domestic cattle)
Lineage: Eukaryota; Metazoa; Chordata; Mammalia; Artiodactyla; Bovidae
Source: Ensembl